UACGUAGGGUGCAAGCGUUGCCCGGAUUUAUUGGGCGUAAAGAGCUCGUAGGCGGUCUGUUGCGUCCGCUGUGAAAACUCGGGGCUUAACCCCGAGCCUGCAGUGGAUACGGGCAGACUAGAGGUAGGUAGGGGAGAAUGGAAUUCCCGGUGUAGCGGUGAAAUGCGCAGAUAUCGGGAGGAACACCGGUGGCGAAGGCGGCAUCCUGGACCGACACUGACGCUGAGGAGCGAAAGCCAGGGGAGCAAACGGG
RNAcentral lists this ribosomal RNA (253 nucleotides) under uncultured bacterium. RNAcentral's name for it is "partial 16S ribosomal RNA". It matches the Rfam family "Bacterial small subunit ribosomal RNA", at positions 524 to 776 of the family's 1533-position model. The record is from RNAcentral.